RNAcentral lists this ribosomal RNA (2816 nucleotides) under Treponema ruminis. RNAcentral's name for it is "23S ribosomal RNA". It matches the Rfam family "Bacterial large subunit ribosomal RNA". Lineage: Bacteria; Pseudomonadati; Spirochaetota; Spirochaetia; Treponematales; Treponemataceae. The record is from RNAcentral.
AUAUGGCCAGGCAAACAUAGGUCCAUGGCGGAUGCCUGUGGAGCUGUCAGGCGAUGAAGGACGCGACAAGCUGCGAGAAGCCCCGGGGAGGUGCACAUGACCAUUGAUCCGGGGAUGUCCGAAUGGGGUAACCCGCGGGGAGCGAUUCCCGCACCGCGGACGCUGAAUAAAAUAGGCGUGCGGAGCCACACUGGGUGAAGUGAACCAUCUAAGUAACCCGGGAAGAGAAAUCAACAGAGAUUCCGUAAGUAGCGGCGAGCGAAAGCGGAGGAGCCCAAACCGCCUCGAGCGGGGUUGUAGGACUGCGACAUGAAGGAGCCAAGGCUAGCGGAAGGGCAUGGGAAGGCCCGCCACAGAGCGUGAGAGCCGCGUACGCGAAAGCCGAAGCCAUCUAGCAGUAUCCUGAGUAGGGCGGGGCACGAGGAACCCUGUCCGAAUCCGGGUCGACCACGAUCCAAGGCUGAAUACUGAACAGCUACCGAUAGCGAACGAGUACCGUGAGGGAAAGGUGAAAAGAACCCCGGCGAGGGGAGUGAAAUAGAACCUGAAACCAUGGACCGGCAAGAUGUCACGGCCCGAGAGGGUGGUGGCGUGCCUUUUGUAGAAUGAGCCUGCGAGUCAUGUUAUGCGGCGAGGUUAAGGGACAGGAGUUCCGGAGCCGCAGCGAAAGCGAGUCUGAACAGGGCGGAUAUGAGUUGCAUGACAUGGACCCGAAGCCAAGGUGAUCUAUCCACGGGCAGGCUGAAGCAGGGGUAAGACCUUGUGGAGGGCCGAACAGUAAUCUGUUAAAAAAGGUAGUGAUGACCCGUGGAUCGGAGCGAAAGACUAAACAAACCUGGAGAUAGCUGGCUCUCCCCGAAAUGCCUUUAGGGACAGCCUCAGGGAAAGCUUGCGGAGGUAGAGCACUGGAUGGAUGCGGGGGAGUCAAAUCCUACCAAAUCCAAUCAAACUCCGAAUGCCGCAAGCCAGCCCCUGGGAGUGAGACUGCGUGCGACAAGGUUCGUAGUCAAGAGGGAAACAGCCCGGACCGCCGGUUAAGGUCCCGAAACCAUGCUGAGUGUGAAAUGAGGUGCGGAUGCACAGACAGCCAGGAGGUUGGCUCAGAAGCAGCCAUUCCUUAAAAGAGUGCGUAACAGCUCACUGGUCGAGCAUCCGCGCGCAGACAAUGUAGCGGGGCUAAGCAUGGUACCGAAACCGCGGAUUCACGGAUUAGUCCGUGACUGGUAGGGGAGCAUUCCGCAGGCCGGAGAAGGGAUACCCGCGAGGGGUCCUGGAGGAAGCGGAAGAGAGAAUGCAGGCAUAAGUAACGAAAAGACGGGUGGGAUCCCCGUCCGCCGAAAACCUAAGGUUUCCCGCGUAAAGGCAAUCUGCGCGGGGUAAGUCGGCCCCUAAGGCGAGGCGGAAACGCGUAGUCGAUGGGAAAUCGGUAAAGAGUCCGAUACUUCAUAAGUUUCUACGGAAUGACGCAUGAGGUGAAAUCCGGCCGGGCGACGGUAGUCCCGGUCCAAGCGGCAAUCUUUUGAGGGGAUGGUUAAAAUAAUUCCUGAGGAAAGCCGUGACGGCGAGAGGAGAGAAAGUCGAAUCGAAGCGGACGUAGUCAGGGUGCCGGGAAAUAAUUCCUAGGCCAGGCUUAUGGAACCGUACCGUAAACGGACACACGUAGGUGGGAUGAGAAAUCUAAGGCGCACGAGCGACCUCGCGUUAAGGAACUCGGCAAAAUGCACACGUAACUUCGGGAGAAGUGUGGCUCGCGUAGUCAAGUAUUGCGAGCGGCAGAAAGCAGGCCCAGGCGACUGUUUAUCAAAAACACAGCCAUCUGCGAACUGGCAACAGGACGUAUAGGUGGUGACACCUGCCCGGUGCCGGAAGGUUAAGGGGAGCGCUCAGGGGUAACCCGAAGGUGUGAACCGAAGCCCCGGUAAACGGCGGCCGUAACUAUAACGGUCCUAAGGUAGCGAAAUUCCUUGUCGGGUAAGUUCCGACCCGCACGAAUGGUGUAACGAUUCUGGGCGCUGUCUCAACGCGAGACUCGGUGAAAUUUAUGUGCCGGUAAAGAAGCCGGCUACCCAUAAUUAGACGGAAAGACCCCGUGAACCUUCACCGCAACCUAACGCUGGGAUCCUGUCUGACAUGUGUAGGAUAGCUGGGAGGCUUGGAGGCCUGGGCGUCAGCCUGGGCGGAGCCGGCGCGAAGGUCCCCUUGUCCCGGACGGAAAUCGGGAUGGCAAGUGUAAAGGCAUAAGGGGGCUUGACUGAGAGCGUGACAGCGCGAUCAGGUGCGAAAGCAGGUCUUAAUGAUCUGAUGGUGCUGAGUGGAAGGGCCAUCACUUAACGGACAAAAGGUACUCCGGGGAUAACAGGCUGAUUUUCCCCAAGAGUUCACAUCGACGGGAAAGUUUGGCACCUCGAUGUCGGCUCAUCGCAUCCUGGGGCUGGAGCAGGUCCCAAGGGUUUGGCUGUUCGCCAAUUAAAGCGGUACGUGAGCUGGGUUCAGAACGUCGCGAGACAGUUCGGUCCCUAUCUGUUAUGGGCGCAGGAUGAGUGAGAGGGUCUGCCUUUAGUACGAGAGGACCGAGGUGGACGGACCUCCGGUGUACCGGUUGUCACGCCAGUGGCAUGUGCCGGGUAGCCGAGUCCGGAACGGAUAACCGCUGAAAGCAUCUAAGCGGGAAGCCGGCCUCAAGACCGCUCAUCCCCGGGAGCACGGCUCCCCUGAAGACCCCCUGGAGACUACGGGGUUGAUAGGCCGCAGGUGCAGGUACGGCGACGUACACAGCCGAGCGGUACUAAUAGGUCGUGAGCCCUGGCCAUAUCCUC